RNAcentral lists this ribosomal RNA (806 nucleotides) under uncultured bacterium. RNAcentral's name for it is "bacterial SSU rRNA". It matches the Rfam family "Bacterial small subunit ribosomal RNA", at positions 8 to 796 of the family's 1533-position model. The record is from RNAcentral.
AGAGUUUGAUCCUGGCUCAGGAUGAACGCUGGCGGCGUGCCUAAUACAUGCAAGUCGAGCGAACGGACGAGAAGCUUGCUUCUCUGAUGUUAGCGGCGGACGGGUGAGUAACACGUGGAUAACCUACCUAUAAGACUGGGAUAACUUCGGGAAACCGGAGCUAAUACCGGAUAAUAUUUUGAACCGCAUGGUUCAAAAGUGAAAGGCGGUCUUGCUGUCACUUAUAGAUGGAUCCGCGCUGCAUUAGCUAGUUGGUAAGGUAACGGCUUACCAAGGCAACGAUGCAUAGCCGACCUGAGAGGGUGAUCGGCCACACUGGAACUGAGACACGGUCCAGACUCCUACGGGAGGCAGCAGUAGGGAAUCUUCCGCAAUGGGCGAAAGCCUGACGGAGCAACGCCGCGUGAGUGAUGAAGGUCUUCGGAUCGUAAAACUCUGUUAUUAGGGAAGAACAUAUGUGUAAGUAACUGUGCACAUCUUGACGGUACCUAAUCAGAAAGCCACGGCUAACUACGUGCCAGCAGCCGCGGUAAUACGUAGGUGGCAAGCGUUAUCCGGAAUUAUUGGGCGUAAAGCGCGCGUAGGCGGUUUUUUAAGUCUGAUGUGAAAGCCCACGGCUCAACCGUGGAGGGUCAUUGGAAACUGGAAAACUUGAGUGCAGAAGAGGAAAGUGGAAUUCCAUGUGUAGCGGUGAAAUGCGCAGUGAUAUGGAGGAACACCAGUGGCGAAGGCGACUUUCUGGUCUGUAACUGACGCUGAUGUGCGAAAGCGUGGGGAUCAAACAGGAUUAGAUACCCUGGUAGUCC